GAUGAACGCUGGCGGCGUGCCUAAUACAUGCAAGUAGAACGCUGAAGGAGGAGCUUGCUUCUCUGGAUGAGUUGCGAACGGGUGAGUAACGCGUAGGUAACCUGCCUGGUAGCGGGGGAUAACUAUUGGAAACGAUAGCUAAUACCGCAUAAUAGCAGUUGUUGCAUGAUAACUGUUUGAAAGGUGCAAUUGCACCACUACCAGAUGGACCUGCGUUGUAUUAGCUAGUUGGUGGGGUAACGGCUCACCAAGGCGACGAUACAUAGCCGACCUGAGAGGGUGAUCGGCCACACUGGGACUGAGACACGGCCCAGACUCCUACGGGAGGCAGCAGUAGGGAAUCUUCGGCAAUGGACGGAAGUCUGACCGAGCAACGCCGCGUGAGUGAAGAAGGUUUUCGGAUCGUAAAGCUCUGUUGUAAGAGAAGAACGAGUGUGAGAGUGGAAAGUUCACACUGUGACGGUAUCUUACCAGAAAGGGACGGCUAACUACGUG
RNAcentral lists this ribosomal RNA (495 nucleotides) under uncultured bacterium. RNAcentral describes it as "partial 16S ribosomal RNA". It matches the Rfam family "Bacterial small subunit ribosomal RNA", at positions 28 to 507 of the family's 1533-position model. The record is from RNAcentral.